This 974-nucleotide long non-coding RNA is filed under the name Homo sapiens (human). Its description in RNAcentral is "non-protein coding lnc-GATD1-1:1". Lineage: Eukaryota; Metazoa; Chordata; Mammalia; Primates; Hominidae. The record is from RNAcentral.
ACCCAGGAGGCGGAGGUUGCAGUGAGCUGACAUCGUGCCACUGCACUCUAGUCUGGGUGACAGAGCAAGACUCCAUCUCAAAAAAAAAAAAAAAGAAAAUAUUGUAAACCUAGUGGCUUAUAAACAACAGAAAUCAGUUUCAGUUUUGGAGGCUGGAAGCCCAAGAUGAAAGCACCAGUAGAUGCAACCUCUUUUGUGAGGGUGAUGGUCCCAUGAUGAGGCUGUGCCCCUGCCCUGUGACCGGAUGACCUCCCAAAUGCCCCACCUAAUACCAUCCCCUUGCAGGUGAGGACUUAAGCAGGUGGGUUUUGGGGGGACGUGCUCAGGCCACAGCAGGGUGCAUGAAGAGCCAGUGAGCCUCAUUGAGCCCCUCUGGUCAGCCAGAUCUGACAUUGAGCCCAGCAUUGAAGAUCAAAGCAGGUGGGGCUUUGGGAUGUGAAGUGGGUUCUGACGCGGGGCCCCACAGACCUGUCUCCGCGUGAGCUGCCUGCAGGCCCCUGCGUCAUUCCUCAGCUGCGUGCGAGGCCUCUGGCUUGGAGAGCCUCCCCGCUGUGCACAGUUCUCUCUUUGCCAGGGCAGGGCUUGGGGCAGCACCAGGCUGGGGCAGAGGAGGAAAGCAAGAGGACAGACCUCCAGAAGAGCAGCGGAGGGCGGGUGCAGUUACUGCUCGCUGCAGCCUUGAACUGGCCUCAAGUGAUCCUUCCACCUCAGCCUCUCCAGUAGACAAGACUGCAGGGACACACCCCCAUGCCCAGCUACUGCAGGGACACAGCCCCAUGCCCGGCUAGGAGGGACACACCCCCGUGCCUGGCUAGGAGGGAAGUUCUUUUACGUUCUAUGAUGUGGGCGGACCUGGACAGAAUGCUGAGUGAGUGAAAGAAGACUGUCUCAAAAGGCCUUUACCCUGUGAUACCAUUUUUGUGAAAUAUCCAGAAAAUGUAAGUCAGACAGAAAAUAGAUUGUUUGAGGCUGGG